CCUACGGGUGGCAGCAGUGAGGAAUAUUGGUCAAUGGACGCAAGUCUGAACCAGCCAUGCCGCGUGCAGGAAGACGGCUCUAUGAGUUGUAAACUGCUUUUGUACGAGGGUAAACGCAGAUACGCGUAUCUGUCUGAAAGUAUCGUACGAAUAAGGAUCGGCUAACACCGUGCCAGCAGCCGCGGGCAUACGUAGGAUCCGAGCAUUAUCCGGGGUGUCUGGGGGUAAAGAGUUGCGUAGGUGGCAUAAUAAGUAGCUAGUGAAAUCUGGUGGCUCAACCAUUCGGACUAUUAGCUAAACUGUUAAGCUCGAGACGGUUAGAAGUAACUGGAAUUUCUAGUGUAGGAGUGAAAUCCGUAGAUAUUAGAAAGAACACCAAUAGCGUAGGCAGGUUGCUGGGACGGUUCUGACACUAAGGCACGAAAGCGUAGGGAGCGAACGGGAUUAGAUACCCCAGUAGUC
This 462-nucleotide ribosomal RNA is filed under the name uncultured bacterium. Its description in RNAcentral is "partial 16S ribosomal RNA". It matches the Rfam family "Bacterial small subunit ribosomal RNA", at positions 338 to 795 of the family's 1533-position model. The record is from RNAcentral.